RNAcentral lists this ribosomal RNA (441 nucleotides) under uncultured bacterium. RNAcentral's name for it is "partial 16S ribosomal RNA". It matches the Rfam family "Bacterial small subunit ribosomal RNA", at positions 338 to 795 of the family's 1533-position model. The record is from RNAcentral.
CCUACGGGUGGCAGCAGUGGGGGAUAUUGCACAAUGGGGGGAACCCUGAUGCAGCGACGCCGCGUGGGUGAAGAAGCGCCUCGGCGCGUAAAGCCCUGUCAGCAGGGAAGAAAAUGACGGUACCUGAAGAAGAAGCCCCGGCUAACUACGUGCCAGCAGCCGCGGUAAUACGUAGGGGGCAAGCGUUGUUCGGAAUGACUGGGCGUAAAGGGUGUGUAGGCGGUGUAGCAAGUUAGAAGUGAAAUACCUAGAGCUUAACUCAGGUGCUGCUUCUAAAACUGCUAUACUUGAGUGCAGUAGAGGAAAGUGGAAUUCCUAGUGUAGCGGUGGAAUGCGUAGAUAUUAGGAGGAACAUCAGUGGCGAAGGCGACUUUCUGGACUGUAACUGACGCUGAGGCACGAAAGUGUGGGGAGCAAACAGGAUUAGAUACCCGUGUAGUC